AGCGGCGGACGGGUGAGUAACGCGUGGGAAUGUGCCCUUUGGUACGGAACAACUGAGGGAAACUUCAGCUAAUACCGUAUGUGCCCUUCGGGGGAAAGAUUUAUCGCCAUUGGAGCAGCCCGCGUUGGAUUAGGUAGUUGGUGAGGUAAAGGCUCACCAAGCCGACGAUCCAUAGCUGGUCUGAGAGGAUGAUCAGCCACACUGGGACUGAGACACGGCCCAG
Molecule: ribosomal RNA, 223 nt
Filed under: uncultured bacterium
Lineage: Bacteria
Description: partial 16S ribosomal RNA
Rfam family: Bacterial small subunit ribosomal RNA
Source: RNAcentral